GCCGGAGUGGCGGAAUGGCAGACGCACCAGACUCAAAAUCUGGCGAUGGCAACAUCGUGCGGGUUCAAGUCCCGCCUCCGGCACCA
RNAcentral lists this transfer RNA (86 nucleotides) under Dialister succinatiphilus. RNAcentral describes it as "tRNA-Leu". It matches the Rfam family "tRNA". Rfam says of the family: Transfer RNA (tRNA) molecules are approximately 80 nucleotides in length. The record is from RNAcentral. RNAcentral also lists the same sequence under 6 other names. Lineage: Bacteria; Bacillati; Bacillota; Negativicutes; Veillonellales; Veillonellaceae.